RNAcentral lists this ribosomal RNA (604 nucleotides) under Chlamydomonas reinhardtii. RNAcentral's name for it is "eukaryotic LSU rRNA". It matches the Rfam family "Eukaryotic large subunit ribosomal RNA", at positions 38 to 666 of the family's 3401-position model. The record is from RNAcentral. Lineage: Eukaryota; Viridiplantae; Chlorophyta; Chlorophyceae; Chlamydomonadales; Chlamydomonadaceae.
GCAUAUCAAUAAGCGGAGGAAAAGAAACUAACAAGGAUUCCCCUAGUAACGGCGAGCGAACCGGGAAUAGCCCAACUUGAAAAUCUCCCUUUGGAGAAUUGUAGUCUAGAGAAGCGCUUUCUAGGGCUGGCGGAACUCAAGUCGGAUCGAAUGCCGCGUCAGAGAAGGUGAUAACCCCGUCGGUUCCUGCUUAGUCCUUCCACGAAGUGCUUUCCACGAGUCGGGUUGUUUGGGAAUGCAGCCCUAAUUUGGAGGUAAAUCCCUUCUAAGGCUAAAUACUGCCGAGAGACCGAUAGCGAACAAGUACCGUGAGGGAAAGAUGAAAAGAACUUUGAAAAGAGAGUUAAAAGUGCUUGAAAUUGUUGAGAGGGAAGCGAUUGGCGCUCGUAGGUGCGCCCAGGCUUAAGCGGUCCUAACGGCCCGUUGAAUGUGCUGGGUGCUGGUCAGAAUGGGUUGAGUUGGCGGGACAAAAGCUGGGUCCACCCAGGUAACCCGGCCGAUGCCGCCGACUCGACCAAGGCGUAAAGAGUACCUUGUCCUUCGGGAUCUGUGCUCUAAAGAUUCUGGCAGAAGAGCGCCAAUCGACCCGUCUUGAAACACGGAC